UACGGAGGGUGCAAGCGUUAUCCGGAAUCACUGGGUUUAAAGGGUGCGUAGGCGGCCUGUCAAGUCAGGGGUGAAAUGUCUUCGCUUAACGAAGAAAUUGCCUUUGAUACUGUCGGGCUUGAAACAGGUUGAGGUUGGCGGAAUGUGGCAUGUAGCGGUGAAAUGCAUAGAUAUGCCAUAGAACACCGAUUGCGUAGGCAGCUGGCUGGACCUGGAUUGACGCUGAGGCACGAAAGCGUGGGGAUCAAACAGG
Molecule: ribosomal RNA, 253 nt
Filed under: uncultured bacterium
Lineage: Bacteria
Description: partial 16S ribosomal RNA
Rfam family: Bacterial small subunit ribosomal RNA
Source: RNAcentral